RNAcentral lists this ribosomal RNA (252 nucleotides) under uncultured bacterium. RNAcentral describes it as "partial 16S ribosomal RNA". It matches the Rfam family "Bacterial small subunit ribosomal RNA", at positions 524 to 776 of the family's 1533-position model. The record is from RNAcentral.
UACGGAGGAUGCGAGCGUUAUCCGGAUUUAUUGGGUUUAAAGGGUGCGUAGGCGGGCUUUUAAGUCAGCGGUAAAAAUUCGGGGCUCAACCCCGUCCGGCCGUUGAAACUGGGGGCCUUGAGUGGGCGAGAAGAAGGCGGAAUGCGUGGUGUAGCGGUGAAAUGCAUAGAUAUCACGCAGAACCCCGAUUGCGAAGGCAGCCUUCCGGCGCCCUACUGACGCUGAGACACGAAAGUGCGGGGAUCGAACAGG